CAAGUCCGAUGCUAAAGACUGGGGCUCAACCCCAGGGGUGCGUUGGAUACUGUGAGGCUAGACGGUCGGAGGGGGUAGCGGAAUUUCCGGAGUAGCGGUGAAAUGCGCAGAUACCGGAAGGAACGCCAAUAGCGAAGGCAGCUACCUGGACGACUUGUGACGCUGAGGCGCGAAAGCGUGGGGAGCAAACCGGAUUAGAUACCCGGGUAGUCCACGCCCUAGACCAUGAGUGCUGGGUGUCCGGCUUCUGCUGGGUGCCGUAGCUAACGCGCUAAGCACUCCGCCUGGGAAGUACGCACGCAAGUGUGAAACUCAAAGGAAUUGACGGGGGCCCGCACAAGCGGUGGAGCAUGUGGUUUAAUUCGAAGCGACGCGAAGAACCUUACCAGGCCUUGACAUGCCCGGAACCCCUCUGAAAGGAGGGGGUGCCCGCAAGGGAGCCGGGACACAGGUGCUGCAUGGCCGUCGUCAGCUCGUGUCGUGAGAUGUUGGGUUAAGUCCCGCAACGAGCGCAACCCCUAUCCCUAGUUGCCAGCAGUUCGGCUGGGCACUCUAUGGAGACUGCCUGCGAAAGCAGGAGGAAGGCGGGGAUGACGUCUGGUCCGCAUGGCCCUUACGGCCUGGGCGACACACGUGCUACAAUGCCAAGGACAGAGCGCUGCUACCUCGCGAGAGGACGCCAAUCGCAAAAACCUUGGCUCAGUUCGGAUUGGAGUCUGCAACUCGA
This 727-nucleotide ribosomal RNA is filed under the name uncultured Thermaceae bacterium. RNAcentral's name for it is "bacterial SSU rRNA". It matches the Rfam family "Bacterial small subunit ribosomal RNA", at positions 584 to 1315 of the family's 1533-position model. Lineage: Bacteria; Thermotogati; Deinococcota; Deinococci; Thermales; Thermaceae. The record is from RNAcentral.